RNAcentral lists this ribosomal RNA (617 nucleotides) under uncultured bacterium. RNAcentral describes it as "bacterial SSU rRNA". It matches the Rfam family "Bacterial small subunit ribosomal RNA", at positions 338 to 961 of the family's 1533-position model. The record is from RNAcentral.
CCUACGGGAGGCAGCAGUAAGGAAUAUUGGUCAAUGGAGGCAACUCUGAACCAGCCAUGCCGCGUGCAGGAUGACGGCCCUAUGGGUUGUAAACUGCUUUUAUACAAGAGAAAACCCUGGUACGUGUACCAGGUUGAUAGUAUUGUAAGAAUAAGCAUCGGCUAACUUCGUGCCAGCAGCCGCGGUAAGACGAAGGAUGCAAGCGUUAUCCGGAUUCAUUGGGUUUAAAGGGUGCGUAGGCGGACUGAUAAGUCAGUGGUGAAAUCUCUUUGCUUAACAAAGAAACUGCCAUUGAUACUGUCGGUCUAGAGUAUAGAUGACGUUGGCGGAAUAUGACAUGUAGUGGUGAAAUACUUAGAUAUGUCAUAGAACACCGAUUGCGAAGGCAGCUAACGAAACUAUAACUGACGCUGAGGCACGAAAGUGCGGGGAUCAAACAGGAUUAGAUACCCUGGUAGUCCGCACCGUAAACGAUGAUUACUCGUUGUUGGCGAUAUGACAGUCAGCGACCAAGUGAAAGCGAUAAGUAAUCCACCUGGGGAGUACGCCGGCAACGGUGAAACGUCAAAUGAAUUGACGGCUUGGAGAGNGCGACGGACGACGACGAGGGAGGUAGG